GAUGAACGCUGGCGGCGUGCCUAAUACAUGCAAGUCGAGCGAACAGACGAGGAGCUUGCUCCUCUGACGUUAGCGGCGGACGGGGGAGUAACACGUGGAUAACCUACCUAUAAGACUGGGAUAACUUCGGGAAACCGGAGCUAAUACCGGAUAAUAUAUUGAACCGCAUGGUUCAAUAGUGAAAGACGGUUUUGCUGUCACUUAUAGAUGGAUCCGCGCCGCAUUAGCUAGUUGGUAAGGUAACGGCUUACCAAGGCGACGAUGCGUAGCCGACCUGAGAGGGUGAUCGGCCACACUGGAACUGAGACACGGUCCAGACUCCUACGGGAGGCAGCAGUAGGGAAUCUUCCGCAAUGGGCGAAAGCUUGACGGAGCAACGCCGCGUGAGUGAUGAAGGUCUUCGGAUCGUAAAACUCUGUUAUUAGGGAAGAACAAAUGUGUAAGUAACUAUGCACGUCUUGACGGUACCUAAUCAGAAAGCCACGGCUAACUACGUG
RNAcentral lists this ribosomal RNA (497 nucleotides) under uncultured bacterium. RNAcentral's name for it is "partial 16S ribosomal RNA". It matches the Rfam family "Bacterial small subunit ribosomal RNA", at positions 28 to 507 of the family's 1533-position model. The record is from RNAcentral.